AGGCAAGCGAGUUUAGCCAAGCGAGUACAGGCAAGCGAGUCAAGCUAAGCGAGUUUAGGUUUUAUGCAAGCGAGUUUAGGUAAGAGAGUCAAGUUACUUUAGGCCUCACUUUAUUUGCGGUUAAAUUGCGGCAUUAGGUUUAGAAAGAAGGUUAAGAUCCAGGCUCAGGUUUGCUUCCAGCCUCGUCCCUCUAGUCGCUCCCUAUAAAGAGGGUUCCCAG
Molecule: long non-coding RNA, 220 nt
Organism: Gadus macrocephalus (Pacific cod)
Lineage: Eukaryota; Metazoa; Chordata; Actinopteri; Gadiformes; Gadidae
Exons: 2
Source: RefSeq, a predicted model, not a curated record